RNAcentral lists this non-coding RNA (79 nucleotides) under marine eukaryotic metagenome. RNAcentral describes it as "Cyclic di-GMP-I riboswitch". It matches the Rfam family "c-di-GMP-I riboswitch aptamer", at positions 8 to 85 of the family's 87-position model. From Rfam's summary of the family: GEMM was predicted in a large-scale screen for bacterial structured RNA regulatory elements. The record is from RNAcentral.
UGAAGGGCAAACUUGCCGAAAGGCAAGGACGCAAAGUCGGAGGGUCUAAGUCGCACGGUGAUAGGACAGCCGGUUGCUA